CUGUUUCGUACGCCGAGCUCUGCUGGCGAAACCAGGGUGUGAAGCAUGACAGCAGAGGCGGGGGAACCAUUUCCGGCGGUCUGGGAUCAGAUCGUCUUGGGGUGAAGCCCGCGGCGGUGCUCGGAACUUUUCAGAGGCGGCGCAAGCCGUUCCCCCUGGGUUCCCGUGUGCCUCCGCAGGCCGGGCAGCUGACUCUCAGGCCCGAAUCCGACAGCUAACUUCGAAGGCGCUAUGAGAGGGAAU
Molecule: small RNA, 243 nt
Filed under: Arthrobacter woluwensis
Lineage: Bacteria; Bacillati; Actinomycetota; Actinomycetes; Micrococcales; Micrococcaceae
Description: c-di-AMP sequence
Rfam family: c-di-AMP riboswitch aptamer (ydaO/yuaA leader)
About the family: This family represents a conserved RNA structure found upstream of the ydaO and yuaA genes in Bacillus subtilis and related genes in other bacteria. The ydaO/yuaA element is thought to act as a genetic "off" switch for the ydaO and yuaA genes in its native state.
Source: Rfam by way of RNAcentral